RNAcentral lists this transfer RNA (31 nucleotides) under Otis tarda (great bustard). Its description in RNAcentral is "partial tRNA-Thr". The record is from RNAcentral. Lineage: Eukaryota; Metazoa; Chordata; Aves; Otidiformes; Otididae.
AUUACUCUAAUAGUUUAUAAAAACAUUGGUC